UGUAUUUCCAAUACCGGAAAACCUCUUUCAUGGGUUUAUCAAUUACAAGUAAGACUAAUUUGCCAUUCAUCUCUAUCUUUAUUAAUAAUGUUAUUGCUAAUACUCGCAUAGAUACUGGAGCUGAUGACACCGCCAUUAGUGAAAGUUUAUGGAAGAAAAUUAUGGCGAAAAAUCCAAAAAUUUGCCUCCACCCAGGUCCGAAGGUACAAUUAGCAGUAAAAGAAGAGGAAUAUAGAACCUUGGGAUAUUUCUCAGCCAUGAUAAAGGUGAAUAAUGUCACUCUUAGACAAAAGUGUUAAUAAAGUAAAUUCAACUAAUCAACAAAACUUGUUUGGUCAGAAUUCAGGUAUUCAAGGUCCAAAUUGUUC
Molecule: long non-coding RNA, 368 nt
Filed under: Androctonus crassicauda
Lineage: Eukaryota; Metazoa; Arthropoda; Arachnida; Scorpiones; Buthidae
Source: RNAcentral